RNAcentral lists this transfer RNA (77 nucleotides) under Myxococcales bacterium. RNAcentral describes it as "tRNA-Arg". It matches the Rfam family "tRNA". Rfam says of the family: Transfer RNA (tRNA) molecules are approximately 80 nucleotides in length. Their secondary structure includes four short double-helical elements and three loops (D, anti-codon, and T loops). The record is from RNAcentral. Lineage: Bacteria; Pseudomonadati; Myxococcota; Myxococcia; Myxococcales.
GCGCCUGUAGCUCAAUUGGAUAGAGCAUCGGCCUUCGAAGCCGAGGGCUGGGGGUUCGAUUCCCUCCGGGCGCACCA